UAAAGUGGCAGUGUUCAGCUCUCUGGCUCAGGACGCUCCGGAGGCUCACGGCUGGGAGAUCAUCACCUCUAAAGCAAAGCGCGGCGAGCUGAACUGCUCCUCUGUGGAAAGAGGCGUCCGAGUUACAUAGCUAACGAAUCAAUCUCAAACUGGUAUUAUUGAACUUGUCAAUUUUCUUUGGAGAGGAGCAGAAUGGGCUGGCAAGCAAAUAAUUCUCAUAUGUUGUGUGGAGCCUAGGGAGGUGAAGGAUGCUGGGAAAAGAGAAAUGUCACUCAUAUACGAGAAUAAACCUCUGCAGUCCCAAAACUAUCGGAGUCAGCCUUGCAGGCAGGUAAACAAGAUUGGCAAGAACAGAAGGCGGUUGUUAAUGAGCCAUCCUGCAGCCCAGGAAGGCAGCAAAUGGUGGAGAAACCAGAAGGAGGGGAAUGGAAACCAGAUUCCCAUCAUCAAGGACCAGGAGUCACCCCUGACCCUCCUACACGGAACGAAAAGGAAGCACAUUUUGCAGGAGGAGGCUACAGCCCGUCAAACUGACUGCUCCAACACUCCACUCAGAGAGACUGUAAAGAACGGUGACGCUUGACUCACAGCCUCUGCCACCUGCCCAGACUCUCCUGCUGUCUCAGGCAAGAAAACAGGCAUGGUAUGACUCCAAAAGCUGACCAUGUUUGUCGCCUGAGUUGAUCUUUUGACCAGGUCUCAGUCACUCAUGAGUCAUCUGAUAGGCUUGGCUUGCUCAUGAAAUUGUACCACAGUUAUCUCCACUGCAACCCUCUGUGGAACUUACUGGAAAUCCAGAACAUGCAAAACAUCUAGGAAUGUUACCUGAUGAUGAAGCCACAAGCACACUACUUCUUUGUGAUUGAGCAUUUGGAUGACAAGUCUCAGCCAUGAUGCCAAGCCCCCGAAGUGUGUAGUUUUUCAGAGGAGAUAAAUUUUAAUGAUUUUUGGAAUGUGCUGAAUUGAAACUACCUUCCUAAUAAUUGCCAAGAUGUGUUGGCAGAUAAACUAAACAUUGUGCUGAAAGAGAGCAGCAUUUUAAAGCCUUGGUUGACAUCUUGCUUUUCUACCCAGCAGGCAGCCUGGCUUCCCAGCUGAGAGCUUUUCCCUACCCAGGGACAUUCUGGGGUCAAGUUCCUGCCUGCUUUUCUCUCUCAAAGCUUCAAAAUUAAAUAAGCAUGUUCUGAACAGCUUCGAGUCUUAUUCUGCUUUGGAAAUUUACAAGGUCUCACAGUCAGAGGGGAAAAAAAAUGAAGACAUUCUUACUGUAGAGAAACCUGUAGCCUCGGAUGCUAACAAUGCGGGUUUCUGGAAGUUCCAAUAAAAAACAAGACCACAGGCAGAGAGGCACAGGAUGUUUGUAAAUUAGCCAGGGGAGAGGCAGCGAUCCUGUUCACAGCCCUGGUGGGCUGUGUGCUGGGGAAAUCGUGUGACAAGUUCCAAAUCGUUUUUUCUGCCGUCUCAGGAGGCAGAGUAGUUCUAAGACUGAAGCUGGGAAGCCGCUGUCAAAAUUGAGCUCGAAAAGGCCCCUCUGCUGUCAGUGCUGACAGAGGAUCAUCAAAUACACUUCAAAAAUGAAGUCUCCCUUCGUGUUUCCGCGGCUGUGGCCAAACCUGUUGGGUUCCUGCCAGCAGUUAUGGGCGCCGUCUUGUAAAGGUGCCGCCCUGCUCUUGAGUAGUCCCUGACUGAGCAGUCUACACCGUGGAGGUGCCUGCCUGUGUGCAUGACAGCGUAGUCAUCUGGUCUGCAGAGCACGACUUCUUGGGCUGGCACCGGGAGAGAUAACAGAGAAUGCUGGUGUGGCGCUAAUGAGUGACUAGGUAGAGCCCAACUCUGACACCAGCCCCAGGAAAGAGGUGUUGGCAGCGCCCUUCAUGCCUUUAGGUUUACACAGCUCAGCUCAGGGGAAAUCGAUUUUUUUGGUAGUUACACCAUGCAACUCUGGGAACUAAAGAAGCCAGCAGCAUAAAAAUCCCCUUCUAGGUUUCCUCCUGCGGUUUGUCCUUCAGCAACAUUCUUUGUUCUACCUUGAAAUAACACAGACAGCGAUACACACCACAAGAGCAAGAUUCAUUUGCCAAACACAGCCAGACGCAUGAAUCACAGGACCGUUGAGAGAUGGGUUUUCAGCUUGUUACUGAGGCACCAAACAGGACUUGCAGCCCAGCCGGCAGGCUUUUUGUUCCCGAGCAGAUGUGAAAUGUGUUCUCUUCCACUGGUGAUGGGCCACAAGAGGUUGGGGGAACAGGCUUGGUUUAAUUCAAAGUCACCUGAAACCUUGUUUGAAGUUCAUUAAGGCAAUUCAAUUCAAUUCAGCAAACAUUUACAGAGCUGCCUUCUGGAGGUGGGGGGGGUGCUGCCUGUGCUUACAGCUUUGUGAGACCUCAGAUACCAAGGACUAGCCACCAGAAGCAUCUCUGCACAGCUUCUUCCCACCCGGCCUCAGUGACCCUCAGAAGACUACGGGGAAUCACUGGGACCUGGUCUUGAGGAUCCAGCUGGAUUGACUGUUCAGCAGGCCCCUAGGAUCCACCUGCCUCCUCCCAAGUGCUGGUAUUAGAAGCACAUGCCAGCAUGCCUGGCUUUUCAUGCAUGGGAUGUGGAGAGCAAACUCAAGUCCUCACGCUUGUAAGGCAGGCACUUCACUGGCAGGGCCCUCUCUCCAGCCAUCGCUGGCUUGCUCUGACCACUUGGUAUGAGCCAGCCCACAGAGCCAUUCCCUGGACUUUGUGAGUCCUAAGUCCCCGCCUCUGGGGUCUCCAUCCUCACUCUGGUCCACAAACUGUCAAUGCAUACGUCAGUGCUUCUCAACCGGGGGUAAGUUUGCUGCAGGGCAGGGGUGAUUUGGGAGCGUCUGGAGACAUCUGGUCACAAGGAAAGGUGAUACGGUGCUAAUGGCAUCUGGAAGAGGACAGGGAUACUACCUGAUGUCAAUGCGGUUCAGAGGUCACCCCCUACGAGAAGGCAUUAGAAAGCCCCAAAUGCCCACAGUGCUGUGACCGGGGAAUUCCGAGGUACAUCACGCAGUGUUUAACACUGCUGACCUAUUGUGAAUUCUGUGUUGCUGACACCCCACUUGGCUAACUCAACUGGGCUAAUCCAAUGCUUCUGAAUCCCGGCCACUAAGCACAACCUCCUCCCCAAGAAAGAUGCUUAAUGAGUAUAGCAGUGGUGAGAACUCACUUGUCUCUUCAUUCACAUACUCUAUCCUGGACUCACAGAUAGUUAUUGACUUUAAGGGGCAUUUCCUUUGUUUGUUUUGAGACAAAAUUUCUCUAUGUCAUUCAGGCUGACCUUAAACUCUCUAUCAUCCUGCCUUAGUCCCGUGAGUACUGGGACCAUGGGUUUGUCCCAACAUACCCAGCUUGAAUAUUUUUCUGGGGAUGUCAAGAUGGAUAGUAGGUAUGUGAUAUGAGCAAUAGAGACACGGUCCUACCUAAGGAAAUCUACAGUCUAACAGGGACAAAAGAGUGUGUCAGGGAGAUGUGUAGGGCAAGAAGCAAGGGGGACAGACCCGGGGCACCAGAGGGCAGAGGAUUCCUGGAGAAAGGGGCAAACCAGAACAUCUAGCAGAUGAGGAAGAGCUGAACCAAGAGGAGGAAGGUGUGUUCUAGGUGGGAAACAGUUUAGCAGUACUAAGACCAAGCAAUGGGAGAGCAACAUACAUCUGAGGCCAGAACUCAGGUGUAGGGCAGGGUGAAGACACAAAGGGCCUCCUGGCCAUGUAAGAGCACCGGAAGAGUAUGCCAAGGAUACAGAAGGCACUCAACAGCUGUAGGCAAAACUGCAGCGAGAUCUAAUCUUGUUUAUAGAGCAUCACUCUGGCCAAGAAAAUGCAAAGCAUAAAUUCAGAGAUCGCCACGUGCUUGCCAGUCAGGCCAGUAUGAAGGACACUGACAAGCGUCCUCAAGGAGGCGGAAGAGCAGGAACCUGUGCGCUGGUGUAAGAGUGUGACAUGUACCACAGUGUACAGCGGGGUUUCUGAAAACAAGAAAAGAGAACUACUGUAUGCUCCAGCAAUCUCAUUUCCGGGUGUACAUCCAAAAGAACUGAACUCAAUACCAUGAAGAGACAAGAAACAUCAACAUCCCCGUGUCUGCUGAAGCACUAGUCACUGUAGCUCCAAAGUAGAAGCAACCCAGAUGCCUGUGGAUGGGCAGAUAAUAAUAAGAAAAAAUGUGGGACUGAUACCUAGCAGAAUAGUAGUCAGUCUCAAAAAAAGAUGAAAGUCAGCCAAACUUGGUGGGCUGAGGCAAGAAGAUGGUGAGAUGGAGGCCAGCUUGGGCUACAUU
This is a non-coding RNA of Peromyscus maniculatus bairdii (prairie deer mouse), 4292 nucleotides long. NCBI's taxonomy places the organism in Eukaryota, Metazoa, Chordata, Mammalia, Rodentia, Cricetidae. The record is from RefSeq and is a predicted model, not a curated record.